AUUGAACGCUGGCGGCAUGCUUUACACAUGCAAGUCGAACGGUAACAGGCCUUCGGGUGCUGACGAGUGGCGAACGGGUGAGUAAUGCAUCGGAACGUACCCAGAGGUGGGGGAUAACGCAGCGAAAGCUGUGCUAAUACCGCAUGUGAUCUGAGGAUGAAAGCGGGGGACCGAGCAGCAAUGUUUGGCCUCGCGCCUUUGGAGCGGCCGAUGUCGGAUUAGCUAGUUGGUGGGGUAAAGGCCUACCAAGGCGACGAUCCGUAGCUGGUCUGAGAGGACGACAGGCCACACUGGGAGUGAGACACGGCCCAGACUCCUACGGGAGGCAGCAGUGGGGAAUUUUGGACAAUGGGCGCAAGCCUGAUCCAGCAAUGCCGCGUGCGGGAAGAAGGCCUUCGGGUUGUAAACCGCUUUUGGCAGGAACGAAACGGUGUCCGCUAAUACCGGGCGCUAAUGACGGUACCUGCAGAAUAAGCACCGGCUAACUACGUG
RNAcentral lists this ribosomal RNA (492 nucleotides) under uncultured bacterium. RNAcentral describes it as "partial 16S ribosomal RNA". It matches the Rfam family "Bacterial small subunit ribosomal RNA", at positions 29 to 507 of the family's 1533-position model. The record is from RNAcentral.